GACGAACGCUGGCGGCGUGCUUAACACAUGCAAGUCGAGCGGUAAGGCCCUUUCGGGGGUACACGAGCGGCGAACGGGUGAGUAACACGUGGGUGACCUGCCCUCAGCUCUGGGAUAAGCCUGGGAAACCGGGUCUAAUACUGGAUAUGACUCCAUGACGCAUGUUGUGGGGUGGAAAGCCUUGUGCGGCUGAGGAUGGGCCCGCGGCCUAUCAGCUUGUUGGUGGGGUGANGGCCUACCAAGGCGACGACGGGUAGCCGGCCUGAGAGGGCGACCGGCCACACUGGGACUGAGACACGGCCCAGACUCCUACGGGAGGCAGCAGUGGGGAAUAUUGGACAAUGGGGGCAACCCUGAUCCAGCAAUGCCGCGUGAGUGAUGAAGGCC
This 387-nucleotide ribosomal RNA is filed under the name uncultured bacterium. Its description in RNAcentral is "bacterial SSU rRNA". It matches the Rfam family "Bacterial small subunit ribosomal RNA", at positions 28 to 416 of the family's 1533-position model. The record is from RNAcentral.